UACGUAGGGGGCAAGCGUUGUCCGGAAUCAUUGGGCGUAAAGCGCGUGUAGGCGGCCCGGUAAGUCCGCUGUGAAAGUCGGGGGCUCAACCCUCGAAUGCCGGUGGAUACUGUCGGGCUAGAGUCCGGAAGAGGCGAGUGGAAUUCCUGGUGUAGCGGUGGAAUGCGCAGAUAUCAGGAGGAACACCGAUAGCGAAGGCAGCUCGCUGGGACGGUACUGACGCUGAGGCGCGAAAGCGUGGGGAGCGAACAGG
Molecule: ribosomal RNA, 253 nt
Filed under: uncultured bacterium
Lineage: Bacteria
Description: partial 16S ribosomal RNA
Rfam family: Bacterial small subunit ribosomal RNA
Source: RNAcentral